AUGGCGGUGGCGUCAACUCUGCCUGGGCAGCUCACGGCGGUGACCGCUCUUCUUGCGCUGUCCGUGGCCAUCACGGUGUCGGCGGCCCCUGCGACUGCGAACCGGAGCAGGUGCUACAAACAUCUAUUCACCUUCGGUGACUCUCUGAUCGACACCGGCAACUUCAUCGUCCACAGCUCCACUGAUUCGGGGCCCGUCCUGGAGUUGCCAUACGGCGAGACCUUCUUCGGCCGCCCCUCCGGCCGCUGGUCCGACGGCCGCCUCGUCGUCGACUUUAUCGUGGAGAAGCUGGGGUUCCCGUACUGGCCGGCGUACCUGCAGGCGGCAGCCGGGAAGUCUCCGGCGGAGGAGUUCCGGUACGGCGCCAAUUUCGCGGUGGUGGCCGCCACGGCGCUGAGCCAGGAUUUCUUCAUGAAGAAGAAUCUCAGCGUUGACCAGUUUCCACCGAUCCUCCCCUACUCUCUCGACGUCCAGAUCGGCUGGUUCAAGAAAGUGCUCGCCGUGCUCGCCUCCACGGACCAAGAGAGGAAGGAGGUGAUGGAGAGCUCGCUGUUCCUGGUGGGGGAGAUCGGCGCCAACGACUACAACCAUCCCUUCUCGCGGAACAAGACGCUUGAAUGGGUCAGGCCCCUCGUGCCACAGGUCAUCAGCUCCAUCGCUCUGUCCAUCAAGGCCCUAAUCGAGCUGGGCGCCAAGACCAUGUUCGUGCCGGGCAUCUUCCCGCUGGGGUGCACCCCGCAGUACCUCGCACUCUUCCCCGGCGACGACCGCGACCCUGCCACGGGCUGCCUCUGGUGGCUCAACGACCUCAUCCUCCUCCACAACCACAUGCUGGAAGCAAGGCUCGAGGAGCUCCGCCGCGACCACCCCAGUGUGUCCAUCACCUAUGUCGACUCCUACGACAACGCCCUCGGCCUCGUCACCGCGCCUACACAAAACGGGUUCGACAAAGAAACGGUGCUGGAGGCAUGCUACCCCGUCUUGAGCACCGGGCCGUCGGGGAUGCCGUGCCCGGAGCCGUCAAGGUAUGUGUCGUUCGACGGCCUGCACAUGACGGAGGCGGCGUACAGGAUCAUGGCCCGCGGAAUGCUCGACGGCCCAUUCGCCGUGCCGCCCAUCAUGUCUACAUGCAACCACGGCUGCUAG
This 1146-nucleotide ribosomal RNA is filed under the name Triticum aestivum (bread wheat). RNAcentral describes it as "partial small subunit ribosomal RNA". Lineage: Eukaryota; Viridiplantae; Streptophyta; Magnoliopsida; Poales; Poaceae. The record is from RNAcentral.